UACGUAGGGUGCGAGCGUUAAUCGGAAUUACUGGGCGUAAAGGGCGCGUAGGCGGCCUCCUAAGUCGGACGUGAAAGCCCCAGGCUUAACCUGGGAACUGCGUCUGAUACUGGGAGGCUUGAAUUCGGGAGAGGGAUGCAGAAUUCCAGGUGUAGCGGUGAAAUGCGUAGAUAUCUGGAGGAAUACCGGUGGCGAAGGCGGCAUCCUGGACCGACAUUGACGCUGAGGAGCGAAAGCUAGGGGAGCAAACAGG
Molecule: ribosomal RNA, 253 nt
Filed under: uncultured bacterium
Lineage: Bacteria
Description: partial 16S ribosomal RNA
Rfam family: Bacterial small subunit ribosomal RNA
Source: RNAcentral